UAGAGAUGCUAAUGAGAUUGAAGUUCAGGCCAUUCUCAAAGCACUUCUUAUUACUAAGUAAAUGCAGCCAUUUUCGAGUAACAUUCGGGCAUUGGUUGUUGAGUCUAAUUCCCAUAAUGCGAUAUCAUGGCUAAAUGGCAACUCAGAGGAGCCUUGAAGUUUUUGUGAAAGUAUCAAGGAAGUUCUAAAUUUGGUGGCUAUACCAAAUGUCUCUUUUAUCCACACUAGGCGUGAGGUUAAUCACAUUGCUAUAAUUAUCUAGUAAAAACAAGUUCUUGAGACAUGAAAUG
Molecule: unclassified non-coding RNA, 290 nt
Filed under: Hevea brasiliensis (rubber tree)
Lineage: Eukaryota; Viridiplantae; Streptophyta; Magnoliopsida; Malpighiales; Euphorbiaceae
Source: RNAcentral